GACGAACCGUGCGAACGUUAUUCGGAAUCACUGGGCUUAAAGCGCGUGUAGGCGGGAGGCACGUCCGUUGCUGAAAUCCCCCGGCUCAACCGGGGAACGGGCGCGGAUACGACUCUCCUUGAGGGGCGUAGGGGGACCUGGAACUUCCGGUGGAGCGGUGAAAUGCGUUGAGAUCGGAAGGAACGCCCGUGGCGAAAGCGAGGUCCUGGACGCCUACUGACGCUGAGACGCGAAAGCCAGGGGAGCGAACGGG
RNAcentral lists this ribosomal RNA (253 nucleotides) under uncultured bacterium. RNAcentral describes it as "partial 16S ribosomal RNA". It matches the Rfam family "Bacterial small subunit ribosomal RNA", at positions 524 to 776 of the family's 1533-position model. The record is from RNAcentral.